Molecule: small nucleolar RNA, 118 nt
Filed under: Chinchilla lanigera (long-tailed chinchilla)
Lineage: Eukaryota; Metazoa; Chordata; Mammalia; Rodentia; Chinchillidae
Description: Small nucleolar RNA SNORA11 (ENSCLAG00000020852.1)
Rfam family: Small nucleolar RNA SNORA11
About the family: U107 (SNORA11) is a member of the H/ACA class of snoRNAs that guide the sites of modification of uridines to pseudouridines. This snoRNA was identified by RT-PCR from blood cells and its expression confirmed by Northern blot analysis.
Source: Rfam by way of RNAcentral
GGGGUGUGCUCAGAGCAGAUGGCCUGAAGAAUGGCUUCUCUAUUUACAAUACAUCCAACAGGAAUUUAGGGUCAUUGUGACAAGGGGCACAAAGCUUCUGAGCAAAUGUCUUCCAUAU